AAAAAGGCUCUUUUCAGGGCCACCCACAAUUUCAUAAGAGGGCUGU
This 46-nucleotide non-coding RNA is filed under the name Marmota monax (woodchuck). It matches the Rfam family "Histone 3' UTR stem-loop". From Rfam's summary of the family: The mRNAs of metazoan histone genes lack a poly-A tail. 3' end processing occurs at a site between a highly conserved stem-loop (modelled by this family) and a purine rich region around 20 nts downstream (the histone downstream element, or HDE). The stem-loop is bound by a 31 kDa stem-loop binding protein (SLBP - also termed the histone hairpin binding protein, or HBP). The record is from RNAcentral. Lineage: Eukaryota; Metazoa; Chordata; Mammalia; Rodentia; Sciuridae.